This 447-nucleotide long non-coding RNA is filed under the name Ursus thibetanus thibetanus. RNAcentral describes it as "lncRNA (ENSUTTG00000005403.1)". Lineage: Eukaryota; Metazoa; Chordata; Mammalia; Carnivora; Ursidae. The record is from RNAcentral.
CCCGGAGUUACCUCCACGCUUGGCUCCCCCGCCCUUGCCGCCCAGAGCCACUCACCCGACGAGCCACCUCCCCUCCUCCCCGCGCUUCUUCGGGCUGCGGGCCGCGCCGCCCCGCCGCCAAGUCCUAGGGUGAGCCGGCUCCAGAUGGGGGCCCCGGGUACUCGGGGGCUGUCACUGUUUGGAGGUGACCCGGGCGCCCCAGAUGUGGCCGCGGCGCCGCAGCUGGAGCAGGAGCGGCCGCCAGAGGAGCGCGGGGAGGAGGAGGAGGAGGAGAAGGAGGAGGAGGAGAAUGAGGAGGAGGGCUUCAGUGGCGGCCCGGAGUUACCUCCACGCUUGGCUCCCCCGCCCUUGCCGCCCAGAGCCACUCACCCGACGAGCCACCUCCCCUCCUCCCCGCGCUUCUUCGGGCUGCGGGCCGCGCCGCCCCGCCGCCAAGUCCUAGGGUGA